CACUCUAGACUUUUCAGCUUCUUCUCAACCUUCCUCUUCUCUCUCUUCAUCUCUCUGUCUUCUCUCUUCCUCUCUUCCUCACUUCAUCUCAUUCUCUCCAACUUUUUAUUUUCUCUCUUACUCCAUCACUCUCCGUCUUCUCUCUUCGUCUCUAUUGCAUGGAUCUUUUUCUCAGUUUUUUACUUAGAUUCAUGACCAUCGUGACCAACAAGAAAAAGAUCUACUUUUGUUAUAUGACGAGAUUGGUUGGAUCGAGGAUUUUUUCUCAGAUCUGGUGUUCGAUGUAUAUUUUGUUUUCAUAUGUUCUUUUCUUUUGGUUUGGUUGAUGUUUUGCUGUGAGAUUUUUCAGCACCUUUAUAAAUACAACGAAGGUAACAACUUCUCAUUUUCAUUAUUUUCGUUUUUUUACCAUCUUCUCAUAUCUAUUUUUUACGAGAUGUUGGAUCGCUAUUUUUGUCUCAAAGCUUCUUCAUCACCUUCACGAAUAAGAAACAGGUAACAAGUUCCCAUUUGUUUUCGUUCUUCUACCAUCUUCUCAGAUUUACUUUUUUUCUAUCAUUUUUGUGUUUGAUGGUUAUUUUUCUCUUAGAUCUACUUAUUUUUGUUCUAAUAUUUUGUUUGAUGAAUCUUUUGCUUACAUAUCUACUCUUCUUUGUUGCUGACAUUGGUUGGAUCAAGUUUUUUUUCUCAAAUCUGUUGUUCGAUGGAUAUUUUUUACUCAUAUCUACUUUUCUUUUGGGUUAUUUUUUGUUCGGACUUCUUCAUGACCUUCACGAAUAAAAGAAGGUAACAAAUUCUUAUUUUUCUUACGUUCUUCUACCAUCUUCUCAUAUCAUCUUUUCUCAUUUGUUUUCGUUGUUCUACCAUCUUCUCAUAUCUAUUUUUUUUUCUAUCAUUUUUGUGUUUGAUUGUUAUUUUUCUAUUAGAUCUACCUUUUUUUUUUCUAUAUUAUUUUCUUUGAUGAAUAUUUAGCUUUCAGAUAUACUUUUCUUUGUUGUCGAUAUUGGUUUGAUCGAGUUUGUUUUUUCUCAGAUUUGUUGUUCGAUGGAUAUUUUAUUCUCAUAUCUUAAUUUCUUUUGGUUUAUUUUUUCCUAUGAGAUUCUUGAUGACCUUCAUGAAGAUCAUUUGUAAAAGAUGAAUGAAAUCUUCAAGAAGGAGAAAACUGAAGAUCUCUUCAAAGCCAAAGGCAAGGCUAUCAAGCACGAAUAACGUUCUUAAAAGGUGUUUGAGAAGAAUGAGGGAGCCCAAAGGUGUUUGUUGAAGAUGCAAACAUUUAUACAAUUGCUAAGAACAUAAGAGCACAUAGACCUAUGUGGGAAAAUUUAAUCUUGGUAGAACAUUUAUGUUUGACAGAUGUCAUAAAAGCACACAAACCAAUGCAGGAAAUUUAAUCUUUGAGCAGAACAAUUAUGGUGACAAAGGUUGGAAAUGAUGUGUUGGAGAAGACAUGUAUAUACAACAUUCAUUUAUUAUAGUAAGAAAGUGUCAUGUCCCAAAAAAACAUAA
Molecule: long non-coding RNA, 1506 nt
Organism: Vigna unguiculata (cowpea)
Lineage: Eukaryota; Viridiplantae; Streptophyta; Magnoliopsida; Fabales; Fabaceae
Source: RefSeq, a predicted model, not a curated record